AGUGAACGCUGGCGGUAGGCCUAACACAUGCAAGUCGAACGGCAGCGAAGUAAGAGCUUGCUCUUACGGGUGGCGAGAGGCGGAAGGGAGAGGAAAACAACGGGACCUACUUUUUCGUACGGGAGUACGUAGCGACACCUACGCUAAUAUAGCAUCAGAACUACGCGUGAAAGCAGGGGAUAAUCGGAAAUUGCGCGUGAGAAUGAGCCGAUGUCGGAUAAGCUAGUGGGCGGGGAACAGGCCCACAAAGGCUACGACCCGUAGCUGGUCUAAGAGGGUGAACAGGCACACUGGAACUGAGACACGGUCCAGACUCCUACGGGAGGCCGCAGUGGAGAAUAUUGGACGAUGGAGGAAAGCCUGAUCCAGCCAUACCGCGUGAGUGAAGAAGGCCCUCGGCUGGGAAAGCCCUGUUGGUGGUAAAGAAAAGCAGCAGGUUUAUACCCCACUGUUCUGACGGUACCCAAAGAAGAAGCACCGGCUAACUUCGUG
This 492-nucleotide ribosomal RNA is filed under the name uncultured bacterium. RNAcentral's name for it is "partial 16S ribosomal RNA". It matches the Rfam family "Bacterial small subunit ribosomal RNA", at positions 29 to 507 of the family's 1533-position model. The record is from RNAcentral.